This 455-nucleotide ribosomal RNA is filed under the name uncultured Bacteroidota bacterium. RNAcentral's name for it is "bacterial SSU rRNA". It matches the Rfam family "Bacterial small subunit ribosomal RNA", at positions 438 to 896 of the family's 1533-position model. The record is from RNAcentral. Lineage: Bacteria; Pseudomonadati; Bacteroidota.
AUACAGGAAGAAACACUACUUCGUGAAGUAGCUUGACGGUACUGUAAGAAUAAGGAUCGGCUAACUCCGUGCCAGCAGCCGCGGUAAUACGGAGGAUCCAAGCGUUAUCCGGAAUCAUUGGGUUUAAAGGGUCCGUAGGCGGUCAGAUAAGUCAGUGGUGAAAGCCCAUCGCUCAACGGUGGAACGGCCAUUGAUACUGUCUGACUUGAAUUAUUAGGAAGUAACUAGAAUAUGUAGUGUAGCGGUGAAAUGCUUAGAGAUUACAUGGAAUACCAAUUGCGAAGGCAGGUUACUACUAAUGGAUUGACGCUGAUGGACGAAAGCGUGGGUAGCGAACAGGAUUAGAUACCCUGGUAGUCCACGCCGUAAACGAUGGAUACUAGCUGUUCGGAGCAAUCUGAGUGGCUAAGCGAAAGUGAUAAGUAUCCCACCUGGGGAGUACGUUCGCAAGAAUG